GAUAAUUUUUAAUUACUAGCAAACCUUAUAUUAAUAGCCAUAAGAUUUCAUCUCACUUAUGCGAGAUUAAAUCCUUUUCGUUGGUCAACGAUGGUCAACGAUCAAGGCCAGUCAACAAUCAAAGGUGGUCAACUUUUAUUGCUAAUUAUAAAUUUUUAAUAUAAUUUGAUUUUUUUUCUACAAAAUACCAAAGCACAUUAAAAAUUUCAUAAUAAUGAAUUUACAAGUGUGAAAAAUAUGAAAAAAAAAAUUGUAAACGCUCAUUAUCUUCAAAAUAUAUUUUAAUGAAAAACAAUAAUAUCUCAAAACCAUAAAAUAAUAAAAAAAAAAUUAAUCGUCACAUGUGUAGAAAUGUGGUAAGAAGCUAUAAAAAGAGUCAUUUAUUAAAGCAAAGCAUAGUUCUUUUAUGUUUAGUAGCCUAACAGUUGUGUAGUAUUUGGCCCAAACUUAAAUAUAUAGACACACUAAAUUCAUUAUCAUUAGAAACACUCAAGGAAAAAUUCUUUUACCAAACUGAACAGCAUGCAAACUUGCUUUCUAUUUUUACCAUUAUCUUGUUCUCUCAACCACCCUUAGUUUCUUCUUUUAUUUUUAUUUUUAUAAAAAAAAAUAAUAUUAUCUAUAUUAAUGGAGAGGGAAGAUGGUCUUAGCCUCACAAUAGACUAGUAAUAAUGUGAUUCAAACUAACCUUUGGCGAGAAUCGAACCUAAGACUUCUCACUUACAAGUGAAGAUGAAUAUUAUUAUAUUGUAGUACUAAAUAGCAACCACCCUUAGUUUAUUAACAAACGAAAAAAGAAAAAAAAACACCCUUAGUUUAUUAGGCUCUUAAAAGUUUGUAACUAUAACCAUAAUAGACAUUACAUCUAGAUGAGAACUUCAAGUGCUUUAAAAAUAUUAUAGUAGCUACUUAGUACUAUGGUCUAGUAGUAUUUCUCUUCACUUAUAAAUGAGAGGUCUUAGGUUCGAUUCUCGCCAAAAGCGAACUUGAAUCACAUUAUUACUGGACCAUUAUAAGGCUUAGCCUACCUCCUCCCCUUAGUGUAGAUAAUAUUGUUUGUUAAAAAAAAAAUUAUAGUAAUAAUAUUGAGACUAAACCAAUUUUUAUUAUUUUAAAGAGUUUAUUGCUUAAUAUAGGUGUAGUUGCAAAAAUUACUUUUUGACUUAGUUCUAUUUUUAGUAAAAGUUAUUAUAGUUUGGUGUUUAUUCAUAAGUAUAAAUGCCCAAAUUGGGACUAAAAUUUGUUAUGACUACAUAGAGUAUUAUUAUAGAGAGAUUUUACCGUAUAUAUGUAUGUAUGUAUGUAAACACUGUUGUAGUCAUAUUUAGAAUAGAAAUGUGAUUGUGUAAAUCCUAAUGUAUCUAGGGAUAUCUUGGAAUAUUCCCUUAGUAGUUAAUAUCCUAUUAGAGUUGUAAUCCUAAAAGGAUUAUGAUUUAACAUAUCCUACCACUAUAAAUAAAGGCACAAUGAGGUGAUACAACACACACCCAACAAUUAAAUCUCUCUCUUCUCUCUCUUAUUGCCACUGGCCUCCCCCUCUCUAUUCCCUUAUAAUAGUUUAGCCUAAUAGGCCUACAACACGUUGUCAGCACGUUCUUGCCAGAAGCUAAGGAAUUGAAGGAUUGUAGGAGGAGGCUUUCUUCUACAAAAUUCAAAGGCUUUUAUUUGUUUUCUACCAAUCAUGUACGCUUAAAAUAAAGUAAGAUAUUUGAAACAUCCACAAAGCAUGAAAACAUUCCCCAUGAUGCAUGAACCUCUUAUAUUUAUAUUUUCCUUCGGAUAUAUAUAUAUAUAUAUAUAUAUAUUGUAUAUGAUUCACAUAUUUGUCAAUUCAUAUAUACGUUUCAUUCAUUACACAAUUGUUUUGCUAUGUGGAAUUUGUGAGUCAAAGCAUAUAAAUAAAUUAGAAGUAAUUUAGGGUUUUCCAAAC
This 1930-nucleotide long non-coding RNA is filed under the name Malus domestica (apple). RNAcentral describes it as "long non-coding RNA (MDOM_LNC011388)". Lineage: Eukaryota; Viridiplantae; Streptophyta; Magnoliopsida; Rosales; Rosaceae. The record is from RNAcentral.